Molecule: ribosomal RNA, 468 nt
Filed under: uncultured bacterium
Lineage: Bacteria
Description: partial 16S ribosomal RNA
Rfam family: Bacterial small subunit ribosomal RNA
Source: RNAcentral
GACGAACGCUGGCGGCGUGCUUAACACAUGCAAGUCGAACGGAAAGGCCCUGCUUUUGUGGGGUGCUCGAGUGGCGAACGGGUGAGUAACACGUGAGUAACCUACCCUAGACUUUGGGAUAACUUCAGGAAACUGGGGCUAAUCCCGGAUAGGAGCUCCUGCUGCAUGGUGGGGGGGGGAAAGUUUCGGCGGUUGGGGAUGGACGCGCGGCUUAUCAGCUUGUUGGUGGGGGAGUGGCUUACCAAGGCAUUGACGGGUAGCCGGCCUGAGAGGGUGACCGGCCACAUUGGGACUGAGAUACGGCCCAGACUCCUACGGGAGGCAGCAGGGGGGAAUAUUGCACAAUGGGCGGAAGCCUGAUGCAGCAACGCCGCGUGCGGGAUGACGGCCUUCGGGUUGUAAACCGCUUUCGCCUGUGACGAAGCGUGAGUGACGGUAAUGGGUAAAGAAGCACCGGCUAACUACGUG